RNAcentral lists this long non-coding RNA (482 nucleotides) under Saimiri boliviensis boliviensis (Bolivian squirrel monkey). RNAcentral describes it as "lncRNA (ENSSBOG00000036773.1)". Lineage: Eukaryota; Metazoa; Chordata; Mammalia; Primates; Cebidae. The record is from RNAcentral.
CGCCGGGGCCGCGGGCUAGGUAGAGAGGUCAGCGGCGAACCCAGGCCUAUCUCGUCAGGCCGCGCGCGAACCCUGCCGGCCUCCGUUCUCUUCCGCUUGUCUCAGGUGCAGCGCAGAUCCUUCCGCCGUAGCGUGCGCUCCCUGUAGCGCUGCGAUCAGCUUUUCGGCAAUACCCGGAUGGAAGUGUAAUGGCCGCCAUCAGGGACUCGCAGGCAAUGGGGACUACGACAGAUACCAUCUCUUCUUUUGAUCAUUGUUCCUGAUUGUGACAUUGUGCAAGUGUUAAAUUGUGUGCCUUUUGUUCCUGAAGAAAGAGCUGGUGCUAGCAACUCACUACCCUCUCUGGCCUCUGGACCUAGCUUGAAGUUCUGGAUUAUUUCCUUCUUCCUUGUACCUCAGCCUGAGCCUUCUGUCACCCAAAGGGCUCCAGCUGGUUUUUCACUCAGGCCUCAUUUUAUCUUCCAAGGUACGUUUAGGGGAAG